RNAcentral lists this ribosomal RNA (752 nucleotides) under uncultured bacterium. RNAcentral describes it as "bacterial SSU rRNA". It matches the Rfam family "Bacterial small subunit ribosomal RNA", at positions 63 to 817 of the family's 1533-position model. The record is from RNAcentral.
CGAGGGGAUAGGUUUUCGGACCUAGAGACCGGCGCACGGGUGCGUAACGCGUAUGCAAUCUACCUUUUACAGAGGGAUAGCCCAGAGAAAUUUGGAUUAAUACCUCAUAGUAUUAUUGAAUGGCAUCAUUUAAUAAUUAAAGUCACAACGGUAAAAGAUGAGCAUGCGUCCCAUUAGCUUGUUGGUAAGGUAACGGCUUACCAAGGCAACGAUGGGUAGGGGUCCUAAGAGGGAGAUCCCCCACACUGGUACUGAGACACGGACCAGACUCCUACGGGAGGCAGCAGUGAGGAAUAUUGGUCAAUGGGCGCAAGCCUGAACCAGCCAUGCCGCGUGCAGGAUGAAGCAUCUAUGGUGUGUAAACUGCUUUUGUACGAGAAGAAACACUCCUACGUGUAGGAGCUUGACGGUAUCGUAAGAAUAAGGACCGGCUAACUCCGUGCCAGCAGCCGCGGUAAUACGGAGGGUCCAAGCGUUAUCCGGAAUCAUUGGGUUUAAAGGGUCCGUAGGCGGUUUUGUAAGUCAGUGGUGAAAGCCCAUCGCUCAACGGUGGAACGGCCAUUGAUACUGCAAGACUUGAAUUAUUAGGAAGUAACUAGAAUAUGUAGUGUAGCGGUGACAUGCUUAGAGAUUACAUGGAAUACCAAUUGCGAAGGCAGGUUACUACUAAUGGAUUGACGCUGAUGGACGAAAGCGUGGGGAGCGAACAGGAUUAGAUACCCUGGUAGUCCACCCCCUAAACGAUGGAUACU